UGGGGAAUCUUGCGCAAUGGGCGAAAGCCUGACGCAGCGACGCCGCGUGAGUGAUGAAGGCCUUCGGGUUGUAAAGCUCUGUGGAGGGGGACGAAUAAGGGUUGGCUAAUAUCCAACUUGAUGACGGUACCCCUUUAGCAAGCACCGGCUAACUCUGUGCCAGCAGCCGCGGUAAGACAGAGGGUGCAAACGUUGUUCGGAAUUACUGGGCGUAAAGCGCGUGUAGGCGGCCCGGAAAGUCGGAUGUGAAAGCCCUGGGCUUAACCUAGGAAGUGCAUUCGAAACUCCCGUGGCUUGAGUUCUGGAGAGGGAAGCGGAAUUCUCGGUGUAGAGGUGAAAUUCGUAGAUAUCGAGAGGAACACCGGUGGCGAAGGCGGCUUCCUGGACAGUGACUGACGCUGAGACGCGAAAGCGUGGGGAGCAAACAGGAUUAGAUACCCCCGUAGUCC
This 449-nucleotide ribosomal RNA is filed under the name uncultured bacterium. RNAcentral's name for it is "bacterial SSU rRNA". It matches the Rfam family "Bacterial small subunit ribosomal RNA", at positions 355 to 796 of the family's 1533-position model. The record is from RNAcentral.